Dermacentor albipictus is the source of this 591-nucleotide long non-coding RNA. RefSeq lists it as uncharacterized. The record is from RefSeq and is a predicted model, not a curated record. Lineage: Eukaryota; Metazoa; Arthropoda; Arachnida; Ixodida; Ixodidae.
GGACAGAGGGGAUCGAAAGACGUGUCAAUGGCAUCUAGGCUCUACGUCCACGCGCACCAAUCAAAGCAGUCUGGCAACUGGGCAGCACUGAUAAGAAGAAGAGAAGAGGCGCAAAAUGAGCUUGUGGUUGUGCUCUCGAAUCAUGCUGGCGCUCGGCCUUCUCUGGCCGGCGUACGCCUCGUUCAAGACCAUCGACGAGAGGAAUAACGGCCACAAGGCGGUCUUCCUGCUGAAGCACUGGGUCAGCAGUGGCACCUACCUGCUCCUGGACUGCACGAUCGAGAUCUUGUUCGGCGCCCACUUCACGGUCUUCGUCAGCGGACUAAGGCUGGCCGCCUUCGCCUGGGUAUUGGUACGCGCUGCCGUUCGAACAGACCACCCCGAUAAUCUCUACGAAGGGGUACCGGUGGAUACCUACGCGUAGGUACAAGCGCCGGAAGACUUUUAUGAAAGUUUCGUUCGACCUCGAAUGAAACUGUUGGAGCCGACUGCCGACAAGUUACUGGGGGAAUUGGAGAAUAUCACGAUUUUCAUGUAAAGCAAAUAUCGAAGCAUUCAACAACAAAUACAUGUCGUUAUUUUUCGCUAUCA